AUGAAGUGGUGGAAGCUCAAGGGGGAGGUAGCUCAGGUGUUUAAGGAGAGGGUAAUUAAGGAGGGCCCUUGGGAGGAAGGAGGGGAUGCGGACAAUGUGUGGAUGAAGAUGGUGACUUGCAUUCGUAAGGUGGCCUCGGAGGAGUUUGGAGUGUCCAGGGGAAGGAGAAGCGAAGAUAAGGAUACCUGGUGGUGGAAUGAUGAUGUCCAGAAGGCGAUUAAAGAGAAGAAAGAUUGCUUCAGACGCCUAUACCUGGAUAGGAGUGCAGACAACAUAGAGAAGUACAAGAUGGCGAAGAAGGCCGCAAAGCAAGCUGUUGGUGAAGCAAGGGGUCGGGCAUAUGAGGACCUCUACCAACGGUUAGGCACGAAGGAAGGUGAAAGGGACAUCUAUAAGAUGGCUAAGAUCCGGGAGAGGAAGACGAGGGAUAUUGGCCAAGUCAAAUGCAUCAAGGACGGAGCAGGCCAACUCUUGGUGAAGGACGAGGAGAUUAAGCAUAGAUGGCGGGAGUACUUCGACAAGCUGUUCAAUGGGGAGAAUGAGAGUUCUACCAUUGAACUGGACGACUCCUUUGAUGAGACCAGCAUGCGUUUUGUGCGGUGCAUCCAGGAGUCUGAGGUGAAGGAGGCUUUAAAAAGGAUGAAAGGAGGCAAGGCGAUGGGCCCUGAUUGUAUCCCCAUUGAGGUGUGGAAAGGUCUCGGGGACAUAGCGAUAGUAUGGCUAACCAAACUUUUCAACCUCAUUUUUCGGGCAAACAAGAUGCCAGAAGAAUGGAGACGGAGUAUAUUAGUACCAAUCUUCAAGAACAAGGGGGAUGUUCAGAGUUGUACUAAUUACCGUGGAAUUAAGCUGAUGAGCCAUACAAUGAAGCUAUGGGAGAGAGUCAUUGAGCACCGCUUAAGAAGAAUGACAAGCGUGACCAAAAAUCAGUUUGGUUUCAUGCCUGGGAGGUCGACCAUGGAAGCCAUUUUCUUGGUACGACAACUUAUGGAGAGAUAUAGGGAGCAAAAGAAGGACUUGCAUAUGGUGUUCAUUGACUUGGAGAAGGCCUAUGAUAAGAUACCGCGGAAUGUCAUGUGGUGGGCCUUGGAGAAACACAAAGUUCCAGCAAAGUACAUUACCCUCAUCAAGGACAUGUACGAUAAUGUUGUGACAAGUGUUCGAACAAGUGAUGUCGACACCGAUGACUUCCCGAUUAAGAUAGGACUGCAUCAGGGGUCAGCUUUGAGCCCUUAUCUUUUUGCAUUGGUCAUGGAUGAGGUCACAAGGGAUAUACAAGGAGAUAUCCCAUGGUGUAUGCUCUUUUUGGAUGAUGUGGUGCUAGUUGACGAUAGUCAGACGGGGGUAAAUGGGAAGUUAGAGUUAUGGAGACAAACCUUGGAAUUGAAAGGGUUUAGGCUUAGUAGAACUAAAACCGAGUACAUGAUGUGCGGUUUCAGUACUACUAGGUGUGAGGAGGAGGAGGUUAGCCUUGAUGGCCAGGUGGUACCUCGGAAGGACACCUUUCGGUAUUUGGGGUCAAUGUUGCAGGAGGAUGGGGGUAUUGAUGAAGAUGUGAACCAUCGAAUCAAAGCCGGAUGGAUGAAGUGGCGCCAAGCUUCUGGCAUUCUAUGUGACAAGAGAGUGCCACAAAAGCUAAAAGGCAAGUUCUACAGGACGGCGGUUCGACCCGCAAUGUUGUAUGGCGCAGAGUGUUGGCCGACUAAAAGGCGACAUGUUCAACAAUUAGGUGUAGCGGAGAUGCGUAUGUUGAGAUGGAUGUGUGGCCACACGAGGAAGGAUCGAGUCCGGAAUGAUGAUAUACGAGAUAGAGUUGGGGUAGCACCAAUUGAGGAGAAGCUUGUCCAACAUCGUCUGAGAUGGUUUGGGCAUAUUCAGCGAAGGCCUCCAGAAGCUCCAGUGCAUAGCGGACGGCUAAAGCGUGCGGAGAAUGUCAAGAGAGGGCGGGGUCGACCGAAUUUGACAUGGGAGGAGUCCGUUAAGAGAGACCUGAAAGAUUGGAGUAUCGACAAAGAGCUAGCUAUGGACAGGGGUGCGUGGAAGCUUGCUAUCCAUGUGCCAGAGCCAUGA
RNAcentral lists this ribosomal RNA (2070 nucleotides) under Triticum aestivum (bread wheat). Its description in RNAcentral is "partial small subunit ribosomal RNA". Lineage: Eukaryota; Viridiplantae; Streptophyta; Magnoliopsida; Poales; Poaceae. The record is from RNAcentral.